This is a long non-coding RNA of Lolium rigidum, 316 nucleotides long. RefSeq lists it as uncharacterized. The record is from RefSeq and is a predicted model, not a curated record. Lineage: Eukaryota; Viridiplantae; Streptophyta; Magnoliopsida; Poales; Poaceae. The transcript is spliced from 3 exons.
GUUUUUUUGGCAGCUUCCUGAGAUAUGUGAUUUAAUUUCGCUUGGCGAGGAGAAGAGAAGAGAAAUAGGCAUAUCUACGGGAAAAUUCUGAGAUACAUGUAUCUGGAGAAGGUUUCAGUAGCAGAUUUUUGGACCUCGACAGUGCCGGCCGGAUGGACCUGCUGGUGUUUGAUAAUUUGGUUCUUAGCAGAUUUUCUAUGCUUAUUAUAUCUAAAGCCUAAAGGUGCCCAUGGCAUAGGUUUGUCAUGCUGGGACUUUCAUACCUUUGUGUAUACGGCGAAGCUAGCCACUCAAGCCCGCUCAAGGAACAUAGCCA